RNAcentral lists this ribosomal RNA (118 nucleotides) under Helianthus annuus (common sunflower). Lineage: Eukaryota; Viridiplantae; Streptophyta; Magnoliopsida; Asterales; Asteraceae. The record is from RNAcentral.
GGUUGCGAUCAUACGAGCACUAAUGCACCGGAUCCCAUCAGAACUCCGCAGUUAAGCGUGCUUGGGCGAGAGUAGUACUAGGAUGGGUGACCCCCUGGAAGUCCUCGUGUUGCAACCC